AUUCCAGCUCCAAUAGCGUAUAUUUAAGUUGCUGCAGUUAAAAAGCUCGUAGUUGGAUUUCGGGCGGUUGACGACGGUCCGCCUCUGGUGUGCACUGCCGUUCAUCCGCCUUUCUGUCGGGGACGUGCUCCUAGGCUUCAUUGUCUGGGACACGGGUUCGACGUGGUUACUUUGAGUAAAUUAGAGUGUUCAAAGCAGGCAUCGCCUUGAAUAUAUUAGCAUGGAAUAGCACGAUAGGACUCUGGCCUAUUUUGCUGGUCUGUAGGACCGGAGUAAUGAUUAAGAGGGACAGUCGGGGGCAUUCGUAUUUCAUUGUCAGAGGUGAAAUUCUUGGAUUUAUGAAAGACGAACUUCUGCGAAAGCAUUUGCCAAGGAUGUUUUCAUUA
This 386-nucleotide ribosomal RNA is filed under the name Chlamydomonas sp. Its description in RNAcentral is "partial small subunit ribosomal RNA". It matches the Rfam family "Eukaryotic small subunit ribosomal RNA", at positions 582 to 975 of the family's 1831-position model. Lineage: Eukaryota; Viridiplantae; Chlorophyta; Chlorophyceae; Chlamydomonadales; Chlamydomonadaceae. The record is from RNAcentral.